This 399-nucleotide ribosomal RNA is filed under the name uncultured bacterium. RNAcentral describes it as "bacterial SSU rRNA". It matches the Rfam family "Bacterial small subunit ribosomal RNA", at positions 80 to 484 of the family's 1533-position model. The record is from RNAcentral.
ACUGGGUGUUGGCGCUGGGCGAACGGGUGCGUAACACGUGGAUAACCUUCCUUCAGGUGGGGAAAAANCCAGUGAAAAUUGGGNUAAUACCGCAUAACNAAAAAAGGCACAUGCUGUGCGUUCAAAGGCGCAAGUCGCCAGAAGAGGGAUCCGCGGCCGAUUAGCUUGUUGGUGGGGUAACGGCCCACCAAGGCUUUGAUCGGUAGCCGGACUGAGAGGUUGGCCGGCCACACUGGAACUGAGACACGGUCCAGACUCCUACGGGAGGCAGCAGUGGGGAAUCUUGCACAAUGGACGAAAGUCUGAUGCAGCAACGCCGCGUGGGGGAUGAAGCUUCUCGGAGUGUAAGGCCCCUUUCGACCCGGACGAAUGCCCGCAAGGGUUUGACGGUACGGGUUU